Molecule: ribosomal RNA, 375 nt
Filed under: uncultured organism
Description: partial 16S ribosomal RNA
Rfam family: Bacterial small subunit ribosomal RNA
Source: RNAcentral
GUAGGUGGCAAGCGUUGUCCGGAAUUAUUGGGCGUAAAGCGCGCGCAGGCGGUCCUUUAAGUCUGAUGUGAAAGCCCACGGCUCAACCGUGGAGGGUCAUUGGAAACUGGGGGACUUGAGUACAGAAGAGGAAAGCGGAAUUCCAAGUGUAGCGGUGAAAUGCGUAGAGAUUUGGAGGAACACCAGUGGCGAAGGCGGCUUUCUGGUCUGUAACUGACGCUGAGGCGCGAAAGCGUGGGGAGCAAACGGGAUUAGAUACCCUGGUAGUCCACGCCGUAAACGAUGAGUGCUAAGUGUUAGGGGGUUUCCCGCCCCCCUUAGUGCUGCAGCUAACGCAUUAAGCACUCCGCCUGGGGGAGUACGGCCGCAAGGCUG